Molecule: ribosomal RNA, 93 nt
Filed under: Murinocardiopsis flavida
Lineage: Bacteria; Bacillati; Actinomycetota; Actinomycetes; Streptosporangiales; Nocardiopsidaceae
Source: RNAcentral
ACCCGGUCCCAUUUCGAACCCGGUCGUUAAGCUUUCCAGCGCCGAUGGUACUGCCUCCAUGGUGCGGGGUGGGAGAGUAGGUCGCCGCCGGAC